AAGGUCCCCAAAUCAAGGUUCACAGACAAAGGAUGUUGGGUUGCAGUGACAACUAGGAUGUUGGCUUAGAAGCAGCCAUUCAUUUAAAGAGUGCGUAAUAGCUCACUAGUCAAGCGACCCAGCGCCAAUAAUACUCGGGACUAAACCUUGUACCGAAGCGAUGGAUUGUCCGCAAGGACAGUGGUAGAGGAGCAUUCUAUGUGCGAUCCAGGCGAACUGGAGCCUUCGGGCGAAGGUGCGGGGCGACCCGUGCUGGAGCGCAUAGAAACGCAGAUGUAGGCAUAAGUAACGAUAAGACAGACGGAAAAUCUGUCCACCGAAAAUCUAAGGUUUCCUGAGCAACGUUAAUCGUCUCAGGGUUAGUCGGACCCUAAGCCGAGGCCGAAAGGCGUAGGCGAUGGAAAACAGGUUGAAUAUUCCUGUACCUGUUUACAGUCGUCUGACUAUGAGGGGUGACGCAGGAGUGAAGACCAGCCGUCUGCUGACUUAGACGGUCUAAGGUGGUAGGGGUCUCGGGUAGGCAAAUCCGCCCGGGAGUUAUCUCCGAGAGCCGAACGGGAAGGCGCAAGCCUACAAACUGGUCGUAAUCAUGCUGCCGAGAAAAACCUCGCAUAGGAGACUGUAGGCAGUCCGUACCGCAAACCGACACAGGUAGAUGGGGAUGAAUGUCCUCAGGUGCUCGAGUGAGCCAUGGUCAAGGAACUCGGCAAACUGACCCUGUAACUUCGGGAUAAAGGGUGUCUCGACGCGUGAGAGGGCUUGCCCCUCAGAGCGCAUCAAGAUCGCAGUGAAACGGGCCAAGCGACUGUUUAACAAAAACACAUCACUUUGCGAAGACGUGAAGUCGACGUAUAAGGUGUGACACCUGCCCGGUGCCGGAAGGUUAAGGAGAGAGGUCAAUCCCCGCAAGGGGACGAAGCUUUGAACCGAAGCCCCGGUAAACGGCGGCCGUAACUAUAACGGUCCUAAGGUAGCGAAAUUCCUUGUCGGGUAAGUUCCGACCUGCACGAAUGGUGUAACGAUUUGGUCACUGUCUCGACCAUGGGCUCGGUGAAAUUGUGGUACCGGUGAAGACGCCGGUUACCCGCAUAUGGACGGAAAGACCCCGUGAAGCUUUACUAUACCUUAGCAUUGGGUUCGGGCAAAACAUGUGUAGCAUAGGUGGGAGACGUUGAAGCCGGGACGCUAGUCUCGGUGGAGUCACCAGUGAAAUACCACCCUUGUUCUGUUUGAAUUCUAACCUCUAGGCGUGAAUCCGCCUAAGGGACCGUGCUAGGCGGGUAGUUUGACUGGGGCGGUCGCCUCCUAAAAUGUAACGGAGGCUCUCAAAGGUUCCCUCAGCAUGGUUGGUAAUCAUGCGGCGAGUGUAAAGGCACAAGGGAGCUUGACUGCGAGACCUACAAGUCGAGCAGAUGCGAAAGCAGGACUUAGUGAUCCGAUGGUAGCACGUGGAAGUGCCAUCGCUCAAAGGAUAAAAGCUACUCCGGGGAUAACAGGCUGAUCUCGCCCAAGAGUUCAUAUCGACGGCGAGGUUUGGCACCUCGAUGUCGGCUCAUCACAUCCUGGGGCUGGAGAAGGUCCCAAGGGU
RNAcentral lists this ribosomal RNA (1588 nucleotides) under Anaerolineae bacterium. RNAcentral describes it as "partial 23S ribosomal RNA (partial)". It matches the Rfam family "Bacterial large subunit ribosomal RNA", at positions 1041 to 2572 of the family's 2925-position model. Lineage: Bacteria; Bacillati; Chloroflexota; Anaerolineae. The record is from RNAcentral.